RNAcentral lists this long non-coding RNA (281 nucleotides) under Lathyrus oleraceus (garden pea). RNAcentral's name for it is "Pisum sativum (pea) long non-coding RNA (PSAT_LNC022632)". Lineage: Eukaryota; Viridiplantae; Streptophyta; Magnoliopsida; Fabales; Fabaceae. The record is from RNAcentral.
GAACUUCUUCGAUUUUUUUCUUUUUUCUUGAACCCCAGAAUUUUUCUUUUGCGCGAAUGAUCCCUGAUCACCGUAUUUGGACCCUGAAAACUCCACGUCACUCUUGAUGUCAAACAAUGAACCCUGUUCUCCAGAAAACACCCUGUGUCUCCCUUUCUCCAUUUGAACCCCGUUCUCCAUUUCUCCCCAUGCUAAUUCCAUUAGCAAUGCCGGAAAUAACACCAAACACCACUCUGAUGACGACAUACCAGAGGGUACACCUUCACGAAAGAAAGGUAACA